AUUGAACGCUGGCGGAAUGCUUUACACAUGCAAGUCGAACGGCAGCACGGGGCAACCUGGUGGCGAGUGGCGAACGGGUGAGUAAUAUAUCGGAACGUGCCCAAUCGUGGGGGAUAACGUAGCGAAAGUUACGCUAAUACCGCAUACGAUCUACGGAUGAAAGCGGGGGAUCGCAAGACCUCGCGCGAAUGGAGCGGCCGAUAUCAGAUUAGGUAGUUGGUGGGGUAAAGGCUCACCAAGCCAACGAUCUGUAGCUGGUCUGAGAGGACGACCAGCCACACUGGAACUGAGACACGGUCCAGACUCCUACGGGAGGCAGCAGUGGGGAAUUUUGGACAAUGGGCGCAAGCCUGAUCCAGCCAUUCCGCGUGCAGGAUGAAGGCCUUCGGGUUGUAAACUGCUUUUGUACGGAACGAAACGGUCUGCCCUAAUACGGCAGGCUAAUGACGGUACCGUAAGAAUAAGCACCGGCCUAACCUACGUG
Molecule: ribosomal RNA, 484 nt
Filed under: uncultured bacterium
Lineage: Bacteria
Description: bacterial SSU rRNA
Rfam family: Bacterial small subunit ribosomal RNA
Source: RNAcentral